UUUUUUUUUUGGGUCGACACUCUGUUGCCGAGCUGUGUACUCCGCAAACGGUUGUUUUGCCGUGUGCACAUGAGUGAGUGCUCAGUGUUAUAAGGGAUAGAGAGGGAUUGUUGUGGAAUAUGGUGAUGUAUUAUUGAGCCUCAAUGGCGAGUAUAUAUUGAGUACAAGACUUGAAAGGCAAAACGCCUCUCUUAGAGAUAAGAUAAAAGACGGAUUAAAAAUCCUAGACUACCAAACAUAUGUAACCCAAAUAUAUCUCUAAUAUGGACGCGGAGUUUUGGCUCCCGAGCUCAUCUGCACCCCCGCUCAAAAAAAAUCAAAACAAAUACUAGAAAAAUUCAAAAAAAUCCAAAAAAAAAAAAUUUGGGUGGUAGAUAAUUUGACGCCUGAGGUCCGCUCCAAAAUUCAACUCAUUUGAGCAUCUGAGCAGCUCUCGGCAAAAAAGACAAAAUCAGGGUCUGUAAAAAUGUUUACCGUUCACGCACUGUUUUGACCUGAUUUGUCUUUUUUGCCGAGAGCUACUCAGAUGUCCAAAUAAGUUGAAAUUUGGAGCGGACCUCACGCGACAAAUUAUCUAUCACACAAAAAAAUGGAAUUUUUUGAAUUUUUUAGUAUUUAUUUUGAUUUUUUCUGAGCGGGAGCAGGUGAGCCUGGGCACCCAAGUGGAUAUCCGUAACAUACCCCCGUAGUCAUAGCAGUAGCGUUGCAAACAACAGGAUCGAGCAUCGCGGACGGUCAGACUGAAGAGAAUAGCAGCCGGCGGGCUGACAUCCCCCGCAGUCGUAGCGGGAGCGUCGUGGACGGUGUCGCGUCGCGGGCGCAUUGACUGUAGAGGAAGCCGACGAGUUGCUCAAGCGGAUGAUAACCCUUUUGUGCCGAUGUUGAUGAAGCCGAGAGUGUAUGGUGGUGUAGCUGUGGUCGAGGUAGCCGUGCGGAGAACGCCAUGGUCGAUGUCGAGUCGGGGUAGCCGGUGUCGAGGAAGUGGCCGCGAAGCCACGGGCGCAAGGAGGCCCCGACUUAGUCAUGGGCGCAUUGGUGUCGAAGUAGUGGUGCGCCGGGGAGAAGACGAUGUUGGCGAGGCAUCGGGCCGGUUAUGCCAAGCCCGGGGACACAUCAUAGAUGAAGGCACGUGUUGACGUUGCCAGCACCGGGCAUGCGUAGAUGGACGAAGACGUAGUUGACGAAGCUCCACACCAGGCUCGCCAGGCCCGGAGACAAGUCGUGGACGAAGGCACGCAUCGGUGUUGCCAGCAUCGGGAAUGCGUAGAUGAGGUAUCUGCAUGAGCUGUACGCCAUGUCGAGGAGUCGGAGGGCCAGCAGAGAAGAAGACUCGACAAUGAUUGUGGUGCCAAUCAACGCAGGGCAGAUGUCGCCGAUGGUGGUCGGAGUAGAUGAAGUGGUCGGGGAAGAAUACGGCGACGCUGGUCACAGGUUGGUGCUUGAUGAAGACGAAGAGGGUGGACGGGCGGCGACGACGGCUACAGGGAUAGCGGCGGCAGCGGCCAAAGAAGAGCGGCUACGGCGGCCUAUCGGCCGCGGCCGCGGUGCUCGAAGUAGGCGAAGAACCCGACAACAUGACGAAGAUCGGCACGAGCGGUAGCAUUGCCGCACCGAGGGAGACGGCGUGGCGCAUACCACGGGAAGUCGAUGCGCGGUGACGGUGGAGUGGACCACGGGCCGCAGCGCUACGGCUCGGAGGGGCGACACAGCGGCGGCGGGCAGGUAGGGGCGAGGGCGGGAAGACCUCGGGGUGGUGGCGGGGACCGCGGCCGCGGCGCUAUUACCUGAAUGGGCGGCACAACAGCGGAGGGCGGGUCGGUGUAACCACGGGGAAGGCCUCGGAUGGCAUGGAUCAUGUGCCACGCUCGCUACGGCCCAACGGGACGAUGCAUCGGCGGCGCAAGGGUCGGCGCAACCACGGGAACGACCUGAAAUGAAUGGUCGCGAGGCGGCGGUGGACCGCGGGCCGCCGCACUACGGCCCGAAGGGGCGACGCAGCGAUGACGCGGAUCGGUGCAGCUGCGGAGAGAACCACGUUGCGGCGACGCUGCGGCCCGACGGGGCGACGCAGCAGCAACCCGAUGCUCGAUCGGGGGAGAGGCGCUCUGUACACUGGACAAUCUUCACGGGAUUUUCGGAGGAGCGUGCAACCGAUGGGCCAGUUCAGUCGCACGGCGUAGAUGAGGCGCAUCGCGGCGACGGUGGAUGAUCAAUCCGAUCACGCGCGAGGUCGGGGACGCCGCUUUGCAGAGGCGUGGUGGCGGCGGAGUCCAAGAUGAAGCCGACGAUGAUGGCGCGGCCGGCCCAAGGUAAUCGGCAAGGCCGAGGCAGGCGUCCCAAGGUAGCCAACAAAGGGGCCACAACCAGCGCGCCCGAGGUAGCCAGCGACGGGGCCUCAUAGACGCGGUGGACACGAUGGAUGAUGAAGAAUCCCGGUCAGAGCAGGGCGGUGACGGCCAGCACAGGGCGGUGGGCAGGCCGAUGCGCGGACGGCGGCAGGCAUGAUGGGCCACCUUGGAGCGCGUGGCUGUCGGGUCGGAAGAGAGGCCAGUCGGUCGUGCUGGUGUCGAAGUAGAGGCGCGGUGGGUCGACGAGGGCAGCGGGCGACGCAAACCAAUCAAGCCUAGAUCGGAAAACCAAAAAAAAACGCCGAUCAAAGUGACCAACGGGAGAGAGAAACAACUCGGAGCAAAGACUCAGAAAAAAGACUCUCUAAGGCAGUCGGUCAAUAGGACAGGCGGACGAACCCUAGGUACGGGCGGCGCGGCCCCCGACGGCCGUCAUGGAGGCCGACCGCCCCCGAGACGGCGCGCGGGUGCGGAAGCGGCAACGGCUAAGAUUUAGGAUUGAGAUAAGACUGAUACCACGUUAUAAGGGAUAAAGAGGGAUUGUUACGGAAUAUGAUGGAUGUAUUAUUGAGCCUCGAGGGCAAUUAUAUAUUGAGUACAAGAUUUGAAGGACAAAACGCUUCUCCUAAAAAUAAGAUAAGAGACGGAUUACAAAUUCUAGACUAUCAAACAUAUAACCCAAAUAUAUCUCUAACACUGGGCACACACUUUGGCACUCGGCGAAGACGAAUUUUCCAAGUGCAUAUGCAUAUUGUUGAUCAAUUGAUGAAUACGUACCUUCUAUUUUUCUACUGGAUCAUAAUUGCCCAUAAGUGUGCACGCAUAUCCAUCCAUCAACGAUCCACUGGUAGAUUGCUAUUUACUGAUGUUUUAUACAUCAGCCAAACCUCCUGAUUGUAUCUCUCAGAGCUGGCUCCAGUCGAGUAACCUAAAAGCAUGGUUAAUAGUAUAGCUAGUUGUUAUCUAUAGCCAGCCUUAUAGCUGGCAAGUACAAUAGAUGUAUAUAAAUUUAUAGAGGUAAUAUCACCGUAGGUCAUAGAACUUGUGUUCGAUGUUCAGUUUAGUGCUACAAUUUUAGAAAUACGAUGCGGUCACAAAAUACGCGUGCGGAUGCAUCAGAGUGUAUAGCCCCAUGUGUUAGUGAGUGGUGAUGCUUGGCUGACUUAUUUUUACACAAAACACCAUAAUAUAUUUUUUUAUUUGCGGGAAAGCCGGCCACACUGUACCAUAGGAGAAAAGCUAAAAAAAAUAAAAAAAUAAAAAGUGUAUAUGUACAGUAAACUUGAUUGUUCAAAUGUCACUCUGUUUUACCGCUAUGUCAAACCGUCCUCUUCCCGCAAAAAAAAAAACCGUCCUCAUGUGCAAUUAGCAUCACUCACAUUGUUUUACUGCUCCACUUGUAAGUAUCGUGUGUUUCUUAAAAUAAAACCUUCUAAAUACUGUUGAUGGCAUUAUAUGUUGAUCUUAAUGUGUCAGACUGUCAACCUACCUGAACAUGACCUCUCGUCCUGCUUAUUGGAAUCAACUGUAGCAGUGCGCGCCUCUACAUGUUUCAGGUAAUAAAAAAAAGGACCAGUAAAAUAACUUAAAUGGGCUGCAGAUGUACACCCACUGCUCAUUGAUGCGAAAAAAUAAAUGGCAUUUAGGCUCCACUCUAAGUACACCUAAUUUUGCUAUCUAUACAUGACAUACGAACGGGAUAGGUUGGUUGGCUAGAGUGGCAUCCCUCUUUUUUUAGACAAACGCGUUAGCAUCGGCCGUCCACCAACCAGUCCCACAUGUAAGCAUCACAGGUUGGCCCCAUGUGCCAAUACCAAUAGGUCCCACGUGUCAGCAUCUCAAGUCAGCCCCGCAUGUCAGCACCAAUAGGUCCCACUAACCUAUCUCAGGUCGGUCCCACGCGUCAACACCGGCGAACUAACGGUCAACAGCUUUGACCAGACAGCCCGGCACCGUUUGAUCUUUUGUGAGGCGCGUAUGAGGGCAAGUAAGCACACUUAGAUGGGCGGGCGAAAACUGAGCAGAACUAAGGAAGGAGGGGAAUGAAAUAUAAAUCUUGUUAUCAAUCGGUCUACUCCACGACUGAAUCUGCCCUAAGGGGAACUGAUACUAUGGUAUACAACAACAAAUUGAUGAGAUCAAGUUCAGAGUUGGUGUACAAGAUCAGCAUGUCUUCCCAUGUGGUGAGCUUGAAUUUUUCAUAGCUACAGAGAAGAUGGAGGAAUCAUAGAAGGCCGGAAGGAUGUACUUGAGAGACCAAUGACACGAGUAUUUCUCGGUUUAGGGAAAAAAAAGAGGUCAGGGCCACUUCUUCUAACACUGUGAAAAAACUAUGGUUUUGAAGAUAUUAUGGUUUGGUGAACUGAAGUAUUUGUUGACGCCAAACGCAUCAAAGUCUUUUAAACAGUGGUUUCUAAAAAUACCAUGGUAUUUUCCUAAAACUCCAAAAACCCUGUGGUGCCAAAUGAUGCCUAAGUGGUUCAAUUUUGUCAACAUGACCACAAAUAUUAUCAUACAUGACGUGAUGAAGGUUAUAUAAAGCACUAUCCAUUGGGUGAUUCAUGCAAGAGUGGAACUCAGUAGAGUAGUUAGGGUUAUGGUAGGGUUGAAUGGAUGAAUGGGACUGGACCACGGAUAUAUAGAUAACGAAUCUAUGUGGUCGGGCUACAUGCAUAGGAAUAUAAAUAAGAUUUUGUAUUGUGUAGAUACAGAUUCAUGGUUCCUUAUGUUUUUCUACUACAAGUCAUCAUUGCUUUUCAGUUUGAUCAUGCAAGUUUCAAUUUACAAUUCCGUAAUUUUCCAUUCCAGUUCAUCCCUUUUGGGCAUAGCCCACCGAACACAUGUGUGUAAACUCACGGAAACAAAGUGCGCCGACCCCGUAAUGUGAUGCAACAAAUGAAAUGCAUUUGCCAUACUCCAAACUGCAUUAGGACAUGAGUGCACAGGUGUGAUAAGUUGACCACAUCCAACCUCGUUGGGACUUCAACUGACCAUCAGACACCCCGACUUGCUUUUCGCGGUCUCGCGGGUAUGCCCUUGCCGGUGUAAGUUUUAGAUACCAUGGUUCAAAGGAAGCUACGCGGCACGACCACCGUUGGGCACGAUCUCUCAGAGUCUUUUGCCCAAGGAGUGAAAGGUGUUUUUCCGAUGCCACUCAUUCCGAACUUUGAACAAGCAUGCGUGCACGGUACCAUACACGCACGCAACGUCUCAUGCCUACACGGAGUUAUGUGAUUAACUGCCUAUGGUCUAAACAGAGCUUGGCAGUUUCAGUAUCAAGCAAGAAGUAGUUUGUUUUUGAGAAGAAAGAAGUAGUUUGUUGGUAGGCUGAGCGACGUGACGGGUGUGUGUGUGUGUGUAUAUAGAGUGGGGAUGAAAAAGCCGGAGGGUUGGGCUUGCAACUUCCGAGUGGCGGGCCGGGAACAAACAGAGCCCGUGAACAAAUCUUUAGCCCAUGUGGCCCGGGCAGCGUGCACACUGAUUCCGACCGUUGGGGUCGCCUCGGGUGCGCGCUCUCUCUCUCUCUCGCUUUCGGCAAAGCCACGCGCACUCAUCUCCCCGACCGUUGCCAAAAAUUCCCCUUCAAAACCUCCCACGCGAACCUCGCCAUCCCCACCCAGGCCGCGAAUCCACCGCCACACGCCCCACCCCACCCUCGCCGGAGAAGAAGGACCCAUCCCGUCCAAUCCGCACGCCAGCGCAGCCCAUGGCCGACGCCGCCGCGCUGGUCGCCGUGCCGCCGCCGCAGGCGCAGCAGCGGCACCCGCUGAGCCAGAUCGCGGCGAGCGGGACGCACCGGCUGCUGCUCAAGCAGUGGCUCAAGGAGGAGGACCUGCUGGCGCGCCGCGUCGCGCUGCGGGAGGCCCGCCUCGACGGCGCGCGCAAGGAGAUCGCCUUCCUCUACUGCGCCUUCUUCGCCUUCCACGCCGCAUCCGUCCUCGUCCUCUUCCUCUCCGCCGCCAUCCCGUCCCCCGGCCCGUCGUCCUCCUCCUGCCGCCGCUCCUGGAUCCCCUGCCUCGUCUCGCUGCUCGCCUCCCUGGCCAUGCUGUGGGCGCUGCGGUACAAGGCGGACACGGAGGCCGUGCUGGAGCGGGUGCUGGCGCGGGAGCAGGAGGACGCCGCGCUGCUCGGCCGCUGCGUCGCCGAGCUCAAGCGCAAGGGGCUCGAGUUCGACCUGCUCAAGGAGGUGGACGCGCUGCGCAGGGCCAAGGCCCUCCGCGUCGAGGCCAAGGCCGGCGCGGGCGGCGCCGACGGACCCAGGCGCUGGCCCGCCAGGGACCUCCCCGUCUUCGCCCUCUUCGCCGCCGCCUGCGGUGUCCUCAUGCUCACCAGGUUCCUGCUCUGCAACUAGGCCGGGUCUCACGAAUCAUGGUCCGUUCCGUGUUCGUCAGGACUUCGAUCGCUGGAUCGAUUCAUGAAGCCUACUGUUCUGUUCGUUCCUGCAGAACUGUUUGUUCUGCGAAUUUUGAUGUCUGUAAUAAGGAAAAGGUUGUCAUGCGUUCGAUUUUGUUCUGUGGUCCUACCAGCUGAGAACAAAAUUACCCUCUCAAACCUCAGUGUUAAUGACCAUGAAGAUAUAUGUCAAUCCCCUAAAUUUGAUCCUCUUACAUCCUUGUGCAGGAUUGUGAUUGUUCAGUGAUGUUUGAUCCUCUUACAUCAUUGGGCUGUUGUGCUGGAUUGUGAUUGUGCAUGAUAUAUGUUACUACCUCAAAUUGAUCAUCUUAUUGCAUUGUUCUCGUGGAGGAUUGCGAUUGUUCUGUGAUGUUUGUCUUCCACAUAUCAGAAAUUAAGUUAGCGAGAUAACAUUGGCACCCCAAUUUGCCAUGAUAUCAAAUCAAGCCAUCUGUUACUGGGAUACAAUUUGGAACGUUGUGGGAAACGUUCAGAGUAAAUUACCAAGUGUCAGAGUUGGAUGCAUUUUGGAACAUCAUGGAAGGUACGGUGAAGGAAGUUAAAGCAGUCUUAAGGAAACCAGGUGUAUUUUAGAAGGGAUAGUGCCAGCUCAACUCUAGUUCCUGAAUCUAUUCUCCUCCUUUUGAUUGCCCUUUACACCUGAAAACUCUUGACAAACCCGAUUCCAUGCAGCUUCAGAUGCAAGCCUGAUAAAAGGAAAUUGCAAACCAAGACAAGUCUUCAGAAGUGGUUAGCUGAUUGCAAUCGGAAACCAAACAACAUCAUGGAUUUACACUUAUUAUAAUUAAAAAGAUGAACUGUGUUUACAAAAUUAUCAUGGUAUUAUUACCAUGAGAGUUGUGUUGGUUUUUGCUUGUGCAUGUACCAGAGGGAAAAAUCAAAAUAUGUGCAAUCUCCAUACAAUUACCAUAAAGAUAUCAGUUUUGCUAGAACUCAUCUAGAUGAGAUAUAAUUUGGUCUCAUUCACCUUUUAUAACCAUUGGAUGUGAUGCUAUAAGAUGCGUGUGUCCUAACAUGGGCUGUAUCUAUUCUUGUUUUCAAAGUGAAUGAGACCAAACUAUAUCUCAUUUAGAUGAGUUCUAGGUACUCCCUAAAGAUAUACUGUAGCAAUCACCAUGAGAGAUAUUAUUACUGUUAGCAGCAAAAAUAUCUGAAGAACUCAGCCCGGUUUCUGGAAACCAAAAAGAUACUGUCCGCUUUCCAUCGCCUGGUGCUAUCAUUUUUGGAACAUUUGAGGAAGAAAUGUGCAAAAUCAGUGAGUUGCUGCAAGUGCCAUAUUUGGUGUCCAGUUCGCCUUGCAUCGAAAACCAUUCUUCAAGGAGUUUUUGGGGGCCCAACUCUAUCUAGUUUUCCUGAAUCUAUACUCCUCCUUUUGCUUGACUUUUGACACCUGAAACUCUUCCAUCACAUCAGAAACCCAAUUCCAAUCAGCUCAAGCCCGAGAAAGCAAAUUUUGCAUACAUACCAAGCAACGGUUGAUUAUCACAAACUAAUACAGUAUUCAUUACAUCGAUUUGCACAUCUCAUAGAAACGCAACUGUGAUCACAAAUCAUCACACACCAGAUCACCAUCCCGUCCUCCUUCACAGUGAACACCUCACAAGAAACGAGCAACAAAUUACUACUCCAUGUACACGGGGACACACCACACCACCCGGUAAUAAUCAACCAAACCCAAUAAACAACAACACCAACGCUCCAUCGAUCAGACGGCGUCGGGGCCCUCCUUCUUCACCGGGACCGGGGCCGGGUACGGCCCCGGGGACUGUCCGGCGACACCGGGCGGCGGCAGCGGCGUGCCGUAGAUCUGUGCGCCGACGCCGGCGCGCAUCUCCUCGCGGCCCUUGUGCUUGCCGAGGAAGUAGCAGCCGAAGCCGAGCAGGACGGUGAAGAAUAUGAAGGGCAGCGAGAUCACCAGCACGAACCCCAUUCUCCUCCUCCCGCCCGGAUGCUUGAGCUUGACUGCUUACUGCCUGGACGUNNNNNNNNNNNNNNNNNNNNNNNNNNNNNNNNNNNNNNNNNNNNNNNNNNNNNNNNNNNNNNNNNNNNNNNNNNNNNNNNNNNNNNNNNNNNNNNNNNNNNNNNNNNNNNNNNNNNNNNNNNNNNNNNNNNNNNNNNNNNNNNNNNNNNNNNNNNNNNNNNNNNNNNNNNNNNNNNNNNNNNNNNNNNNNNNNNNNNNNNNNNNNNNNNNNNNNNNNNNNNNNNNNNNNNNNNNNNNNNNNNNNNNNNNNNNNNNNNNNNNNNNNNNNNNNNNNNNNNNNNNNNNNNNNNNNNNNNNNNNNNNNNNNNNNNNNNNNNNNNNNNNNNNNNNNNNNNNNNNNNNNNNNNNNNNNNNNNNNNNNNNNNNNNNNNNNNNNNNNNNNNNNNNNNNNNNNNNNNNNNNNNNNNNNNNNNNNNNNNNNNNNNNNNNNNNNNNNNNNNNNNNNNNNNNNNNNNNNNNNNNNNNNNNNNNNNNNNNNNNNNNNNNNNNNNNNNNNNNNNNNNNNNNNNNNNNNNNNNNNNNNNNNNNNNNNNNNNNNNNNNNNNNNNNNNNNNNNNNNNNNNNNNNNNNNNNNNNNNNNAAUUGCUGCGGGUGCUCUGCGCUGGGAGGGGAAGCCGCGUGGGGAUGGGAGUUUUAUAUGCACGGGGGACAUGGAUGGGGGAAGCGGCGGAGGAGAAAGAUGGUGCGGAAGAAGGCGGCUGGGGCUGGAAGCUUGUGGAGUGUGCUGCUGCCGUGAGCGCGUGACUGCGUACGGGUGACCGUUGGCUUGGCGCUUAAUUUGGGGGCAACGGUCGAAUGCCUUGGGGUCUUCUGUUCCGUGGAGCGUGUUUCAGCUACGUCGCCUUCAAGGUUUACAAGUGUAGGAGUACAUCAUCUUCUAUGGCGUAAACGUUUCACGCCGGGGCGCCGGCCGAAGCUUCAGCCGGUCGCACGCGUGCACUCGGUUUCCUGUUGCUGCUAGUAGGCCAACCACCCAUCCCUUAUCCUCUCAUCUCUAUUCUUCUCCUCUGUUGCUUUCUUUUUUCUGCUCUUGCCAUGGCGCCCAAUGCCUGCCCCCUCAUCACUUCAUGCGGAGCUUGCCGUCGUUGACGGCCAGACCGCCUACUGCCGUGAGACCUUCCUCCCCCAUUGAUGCAAGCAUCUCUCCCCUUCUCCUGCUUCGAAGCUGCCCUCUAGCUGCCGCAUGUACAGAGGGCGUCACACACUCCCCCGCACCCCGGCGGUUGAUGCAUGGGUCUGCUGGCGGUUCCGUCUUGCCGGAAGGAAUGCCCUCGAGGCGUUGUUGGAAGCAGGGGCGCCGGCGGCUGUGGGCUAUGGCCAGGAAGAUGAGGCACGCUCUCCUUUCAUGCCCAGCCAGUACCUCUGCUUCAACCAGCCAGAUUGUUUGCUGGGACCGGCAAUGAUUUUUGCUGGAAUUAGUGUAUUAUUUUGCUGACGAUCACGCACAUGCUGUCAUUAUUAUGCUGCUACCUUUUUGCUGGAACUAGCUACAAUUUUUGCUGAAAUUUGCUGGAACCGGCAACGAAAUUUGCUGGAACCGUUGUCUAAAUUUGCUUGAGAACCCGCGUAAGUGUUGAUCUUUUCUGUGACAUUCAUCAGAUUUUUGCUGUAACCCGCUACAAUUUUUGCUAGAACCAGCUACAACUUUUGCUGGAACCGUUGUCUGAAUUUGUUGUGGAACCUGCGUAAGUUGUGAUCUUUUCUGCGACAUUCAUCGGAUUUCUGCUGGAACCGACUACAAUUUUUGCUGGAACCGGCUACAACUUUUGCUGGAACCCUUGUCUGAAUUUGUUGGGGAAUCCGCGUAAGUUGUGAUCUUUGUUGCGACAAUUUAUUUGCUUUGUUUGCUACAAUCAGUGACAAGUUUUGCUGAAAACGGCGUUGGAAUUUGUUGAACCAACCAUCGGAGUUUAUCUGUCUGUGUCCGCCCGUCCUUUGAUUUUGCUACAACAGUGAUGGUGAAUGCUACAACCGGCGAUGAUUUUUGCUGGAUCCAGCACAUGCAAAUGAUGGAGACGAGUAGCACGACAUGUUGCAAGCGGCACCCACCGGCGCCAGAGACGACGUGCGGCGUUGCCGCUGCGAGUAGCCUCGUCGGCGAAGCGUCACCCUGCGGCUAGCAGAGGUGGAUGUACGCGCUGCGGGUGGAUCUGCUGCUACGAGGGGGAUUUUUCCCCAAGACUUCGAGCAACGCUGCGAGUAGGCUCGUCGGCGAUUCGAGUUGGGGGCAGAUGCAGUAGCAGGGGAAGCGAGCGGCGCCAUGGAUGGCGUCUUGUUCCAGGGACGAGCGGCGGCCUGGGACAGUGCGUUUGUGGGCGUCUGCGUUGACUAGCGAUAAGGUGGGAAAGAGAGAGUCUUGCGUGCGAGGGAUGCGGAAGUGGGGACGAGACGCUUCAAUCUGAACGGUUUCUAUGCAUCACAUCUGACGGUCAAGGUCGGACCGGCCGAAAGUUUAAGCCGAUGCACCGGCGCAGAUUACUGCCCUUUGGAUUUUCUGUUGCAAAAUCAGGAGGGGAAAAAAUAUUAGUGGUACAUGACUGUGCAGCGGAGAUAGUUUUAAUAUCAUAUUAUUAUUAUUAUUUUCGCUGGUGACCGGCAUAACUCCCUCAUGGUCGAACAAGUCGUGUUGUCGGCCCGACCAUGAGGAAACCAUGGUGGCCAAUUAGACCUGGCCAUCCUUCGGGCCGGGCCUGACCAAGCCCGAGGUAGAAAACUCAGGCCCGAGCCUGGCCCAGCCCAGCCAUCGGGACUACUUUUCAGGCCCAAGCCCGGCCCGGCACAACAAAAAACACACCGGGCCGGGCCUCUUCAGUAAAUGGCAGAAACAGCAGGCCCAGGCCCAGCCUGGCCUAGUCUUCGGGCUCAAAAUCUAGGCCCAGGCCCGGCCCGGGAGCAGCGCCGGGUCGGGCUGUUCGUGCCGGGCGGCCCAUGGCCAGGACUAUGGCCAAUAGAAAACAUGGUCGACCGUGUCGUGCUGUCGACGAGCCGAAGCCGGAGACAACAUGGCUGAUCGCGGAGGUGAUGAGGCAAGUUCAUCAGGAGUAAGAUGGUGGGGUGUCAGGACAGAGGCUCGCGACAACAGUUAGAUGGGCAACAGUACCGAUUCAAAUGUCCAAGUGCGUUUCAACCGUCGAUCGACGAUCCUACGGCUUCGGCGCGUGUACCGCUUCACGCUAAAGUGACCCACUCACCGCCGUAGAUCUCUAGAUGUGCGGUUCAGGCCGUUGUAACGUCUCUUUUAAACUUUACCGCAUCUCUGUAAUUUGAACUUGUCACUGUCUUACUUUUCACCUGCUCCAUCCUCCUUUUUAACCCUCCUCCGGCUUGUGGAGAGGGCAUUCUGGAUAAUUCUGGGCUUGGCCCCUUGAGCCGCCGUGUUCCGGCUGGCGAACCCUAGCUUUGCGUGGUUUCAGAUCCACCCGAACAACGCUCAAUUUCCAUCGAAAGUUCGCGUUUUUACUCUGUUUUCAGCAAUACUCCGACAGUUCCUAGGCUAGAUCCUGUCAAUUGGUUAUCAGAGCAAGGUUUUAGAUCCUUGGAGGCAUUGAGUUGGACCAGAUCUGAUCUGGGUCCGGCGAGGCGGCGGUGGACGCAGGGAGGAGACGGCGACGGUAGAUCGUUCGGCGGCAAGGAAGGCUGAGGCGGAGGUUUCUGUAGAACACUUCUACAGAGUAAAAUCCCACCCAACCCACCUCCUGGUGUUGUUUCAUUCUCGGCGCGACAAGCUGUGGGGCAGGUUGCCGGAGAUCCGGUGGUAAAUUCCCCCCCCCCCCUCACCCGCCCUCCUGGGCUGAACCAUAGUCCGGAUGGCGACGCCGGAAGAAUCCCUGGAUACAGGUAUCCUAGAGCUCGAGUCUCUACAAUUGGACAUAAAAACUUUAUGCCAAGACAGAGAGGAAGACAAGAAGGAGUUCUAUGAUUUUACUGAAACAGUCAACAGGAACUUUGCAAGCAUUGACAGAAAUUUCAAAAAGAUCCAGGCCAGCCUGAAGAAAUUGGUGCAGGAGGACAAGGUGGAAGAAGAAGAGGAUGAUGGUGACCCUCUCUCAGCUCAAGCUAGCAACAAAGCAGCAACCACUAUUCCUCCCGGGAGACCUAAACAACUGCAGCCACAAAACAACACGGGUACUAUUGUUUUGGUGGAUAAAGUGACAGGGAAAGAUUUAACCUAGAUGGCACCCCCAAGGCUCCUUUCAGGCAUCCAAACCAUUUUGGUAGUAGACCUGACACCAGUACACCUCAGAGCAGAGUGGGACAACAACAACAAAAUAUCAUGGUCAUUGCAGAAUUACCUGAAGAAGCCCCAAGGCAGGAAGAAAAUAGAACCAAACACACUCAUAAUGAUGUGAGAAGGAACAUCCUGAGUGUGAAACCAGCUAAAUUAAAUAUCUAAAAAUUUGAAGGAACUGAUGCUGACUCUUGGAUUUAGAACAUUGAGCAAUUCUUUGAAGCUUCCAGAACGCCCUUGGAACAAAGAACUGAAAUUGUAGUGUCCUAUCUGAAAGGAGAAGCAAUACAGUGGUGGAGAGGCACGGGCUUUCUGGUCACAAACAUGCCCUGGCACAGGUUUUGCUCCUAUCUGACAGACAGGUUUUCAACAAACUCUGUUUGUGAAAAUGUCAAAGCCUUCCACAGCCUGAAUCAAACUAGUACUGUGGCACAAUACAUUGCUGCUUUCGAGCAAAACAUGAAUCUUAUGAGGAGAGACAACCCUGCAGUUCCAGAUAGUUAUUACAUGCACAGCUUCAUAUCUGGGUUAAGCCCUUAUAUUCAGAGUCACCUAGAAUGCCACCAACCUGACAAUAUGCAGAGAGCAAUGUGGUUGGCAAGGAGAAUAGAAAAGUCAAGUCCUGCAACCAACAACUACAAAAGUUACACACCUAACUACAGGAAAACAGCUGCUACUGAAAGCAACAAAACACCAAUCAUUCCUAUAGUUCCUGCUGCCACUGUCAUUCAUCAAGCAAGAGAGAAAGGAAUUUGCUAUAAAUGUAGAGAACCUUGGUUUCCUGGUCACAAACAAGUGUGCAAAAUGUCCCAGAAGUCUCAAAUUCAAGCUUUACAAGAACAAAGUGCAGUGAACCCUGAUGUUAUCUACAUUGUAGAUGCUAAAGAAGAACAAACUGACACUGAAGAAGACAAUUCAGACUCCCAGCAACUGAAAAUUUACAUGCAUGCUGCUAAUGGCACUCCUGAGGAACAACCUAAGCACACCUUCACAUUACAAGUGCAACUUGGAUCGACCAUGGCUCUAGCACUUGUAGAUAGUGGCAGUACCACCACUUUUCUCUCCCCUUUAAUAGCCUUAAGAGCUGGCUGUGAACUGACACCAGCCAAACAGGUCAAAGUAACGGUUGCAAAUGGAGGAACACUCCUUAGUGAUUUUUCCUGCAAAAAGCAAAACUACCACAUUCAGGGAACAUCCUUUUGUUCUGAUUUCAGAGUUUUGAAACUCACUAGAUAUGAUAUGAUUUUAGGAGUAGAUUGGAUGUAUCAACACAGCCCAGUAACUUUUGAUCUUCCUAAUCUAACACUGUCAAUCAAACAUGAUCAAGGAAACCUCACCACUUUCAUUGAUGAAAGUCUGCCAACUAGUCCCUGUUCUCCAACAUUGCAAGAAAUGGAUCAUCUUUUGGAAGAAAUAUUAUCUGGAGCUCUACUGUGGAUGCAACCUGUCAGUAUGGACACUGGGCAAGUCCAGAAACACAACUCUGAGAUCUCUGAACUUCUAACUGAAUUUCAGGAUGUGUUUCAAGAACCUGCAGGUUUACCACCCAAGAGAUCGUGUGAUCAUGCUAUCAACCUUGAACCUGGAGCACCUGUCAUUAAUCAGAGAUGCUACAGGAUGCCCCCUCAACAGAAAAAUGCAAUGGAACAAAUCAUAAAGGAUCUCAUCCAGAAGGGAAUAAUUAGACUGAGCAGUAGCCCUUAUUCUUCUCCAGCAAUCUUAGUGAAGAAAAAGGAUGGCACUUGGAGACUGUGUGUGGACUACAGGAAGUUGAAUGCUUACACUAUUAAGAACAAAUACCCCAUUCCUAUGAUUGAAGAUCUCCUAGAUGAGCUACAUGGAGCAACAAUCUUUACUAAGAUUGACCUAAGGAGUGGUUACCACCAAAUAAGGAUGAAAAAAGAGGAUAUUGAGAAAACUGCUUUUAGUACACACAUGGGCCUGUAUGAAUUUCUGGUGAUGCCUUUUGGAGUAACCAAUGGACCACAUUCCUUCCAUCAACUGAUGCACUCGGCUUUGGGGCCAUACCUAAGGACUUGUGUACUGGUAUUUUUUGAUGAUAUUCUGGUUCUCAGCAAAUCCUAUAAAGAACAUGUGAAGCACCUGAAGAUGGUUUUCAAAGCUCUGAGAGACCACCCGUUGUAUGCUAAAAUGUCCAAGUGCAUGUUUGCACAGAAGAAAGUGGAAUAUCUGGGGUUUGUUAUUUCUGCUGAAGGAGUAUCAAUAGACCCUGCUAAAGUGGAAGCAAUCACCCAAUGGCCCACACCAACAAAUGUAACUCAACUCAGAAGUUUUCUGGGAUUAGCAGGGUACUACAGGAGGUUCAUUAGGGAUUUUGGAGUUAUGUGCAUAUCUCUGUUUGAUGCACUAAAGAAAGAUGCUUUCACCUGGGCUGAGAAACAAGAACAAGCUUUUCAAAUGUUGAAAACUUGCAUGACACAAGCUCCAGUCCUUGCUCUGCCUGAUUACUCCUCCCCUUUUGUGUUGGAAGAAGAUGCUUCUGGUUAUGGAAUUGGGGCAGUUUUAAUGCAAAAAGGGCAACCUAUAGCUUUCCUCAGUAAAUCCCUGGGCCCCAAAGCAGCUGGUUGGUCAACCUAUGACAAGGAGGCCCUGGCCAUCAUUGAAGCACUCAAACAGUGGAAGCAUUACUUUGCUUCUUCCUCCAUAAUCAUAAGAACUGACCAACAGAGCCUCAAACAUAUACAAGAACAGAAAUUAACUGAGGGAAUUCAACAUAAGCUCCUUAUAAAGCUCUUGGGCUACAAAUUUACUGUGGAAUACAAGAAGGGCAAAGAAAACAAAGUAGCUGAUGCUCUGUCCAGAGUUAAGUAUGCUCUACAAACUCUGUCCACCACUGCUGCAGUUCCUGUUUGGAUUAAAGAGGUGGUCAACAGUUACAAAAAUGACCAAAAGUGCUCUGACUUACUAGCUGAACUAGCUAUUGCUCCUACAGGGCACCCCCCUAUACCCUAACUAGUGGAGUGUUGAGGUAUAAAGGAAAGAUUCUCAUUGGAAAUAACAAUGAGCUGAGAACUUCACUUCUGCAAUCCUUUCAUACUUCUGAAUUAGGAGGGCAUUCCGAAGAAAGAGCUACAUAUCACAGAUUAAAAAUACUGUUUUCCUGGCCGGGUAUGAGACAAGCAGUAAAAACCUUUGUGCAACAGUGCCCUGUGUGUCAGAUCAACAAAGCUCACCACCUGCCUUCUCUUGGACUACUUCAACUUCUCCAUGUUCCUGAUUUUGCAUGGACUCACAUAUCCAUGGACUUUGUGGAAGGAUUACCUGUCUCUGACAAUAAAGACCUCAUUCUGGUGGUGGUUGAUAGGUUCACAAAAUAUGCUCAUUUUAUUGGUCUCAAACACCCCAUCAAUGUGAAAAUUGUAGCACAAGCAUUUACAGACAACAUUUUUAAACUGCAUGGGCUCCCUACUGUCAUGGUUACUGACAGAGAUAGGAUCUUUACCAGCCAAUUGUGGCAGAAUCUGUUCACCAGAAUGGGAGUGAAAUUACACCUUAGUACUUCCUAUCAUCCUCAAACUGAUGGACAGACAGAAAGAGUGAACCAAUGCCUGGAAAAUUACUUGAGAUGCAUGGCUUUUGCACAUCCAAGGAAAUGGUAUAAGUGGCUGUCUAUGGCAGAAUGGUGGUACAACACAAGUUUUCAUACCUCCAUCAACAUGACUCCUUUUCAGGCACUGUAUGCCAAGCCACCACCACUCAUUGCUGAACUCAUGCUACCCCCACCUGAAGGGGAAGACACACAAGCUGAACUGGACAGAGACACAAUUGCUCAACAGAUCAAAGAAAAUUUGCUAAAAGCACAAGAAAGGAUGAAACACUUUGCUGACAGUAAAAGAUCUGACAAGCAACUUGAGGCUGGGGAUAUGGUAUACAUUAAGUUACAGCCUUACAGACACACUAGCCUCAGCAUCCACACACACCUGAAACUUCACUCAAAAUACUAUGGACCAUUCAAAGUUCUUGAGAAAAUUGGAGUUGUGGCAUACAAACUCCUCCUGCCUGACGACUGCAAACUACACCCAACCUUCCACAUCAGCCAGCUCAAAAAGCAUCUUGGUCCUGAUGCAGUUCCCAACCCUAAACUGCCACUGUUGGAUGAGCAUGGCCACAUUCUCAUACAACCUGAAGCAAUCCUGCAGCGCAAAUUGAUACCAAGAGACCAAGGCGACAUCAGCAUACCAGUGGUGCAGUGGCUGAUCAAGUGGAUCAACCUUCCAGAGGACAAGGCCACUUGGGAAGAUGCAGCCUUCAUACAGAAAGUUUUUCCCAGUUUUCAGCCUUGAGGACAAGUCUACUGUCCAAGUGCGUUUCAACCGUCGAUCGACGAUCCUACGGCUUCGGCGCGUGUACCGCUUCGCGCUAAAGUGACCCACUCUCCGCCGUAGAUCUCUGUGCGGUUCAGGCCGUUGUAACGUCUUUUUUAAACUUUACCGCAUCUCUGUAAUCUGAACUUGUCGCUGUCUUACUUUUCACCUGCUCCAUCCUCCUUUUUAACCCUCCUCCGGCUUGUGGAGAGGGCAUUCUGGAUAAUUCUGGGCUUGGCCCCUUGAGCCGCCGUGUUCCGGCUGGCGAACUCUAGCUUUGCGUGGUUUCAUAUCCACCCGAACAACGCUCAAUUUCCAUCAAAAGUUCGCGUUUUUACUCUGUUUUCAGCAAUACUCCGACAGUUCCUAGGCUAGAUCCUGUCAUGGGGCACCAUUCCUGACAGCACCGACGGUCGCAACUCCACCAGCAUAUGGGCAACGGAAGUUAAUGUGUACAGUGGAUUAGUGAGAACAGAACUCCGCCGUAGGCUCGAACUUAACACAACGUUUUUCAGUAACUAAAGCUAAGGGUGUUCUUUUUAGCCCUGAAGAAGAAAAACUAACCUCCACCACCUUUCUUUAGUCGAACGACGAAGUAGGGAGUAUUUGGGGAAAGAAAUCAUAUACGAGUUUAUAAGAGACAAGGCAGAGGGAAUCAUAUAAAGCUGGAAAUUACAAGUGAUUCGUGCUUCUUUAUUUAUUUUUUAAUCAAUCAAAGCCAAAGGCGAUUCUUUCUUUCUUUCUUUUUUUUUGCAGGGUAAAGCCGAAGGCGAUUCUUCCAUGAUUAUCGCUCAAUGGUUCUAGAUUUCCCUCCUGGGUUUCACCAUUCUGGAAGUUCUUGGACCGAAAGUACAAAGGGUAAAAGUUCACAAAAAAACUGCCAAAAAGAACCAUGAGUUUCAGGGAAAUACAAGUCCGGGAGAGACAAGGCAUGGUAACAAGUCAGGCCAUGCCACGGAACAUUGACACAAUAGAGAGCAUUCAGGAGAAUCCAAGCCUAGCAAACCAGUAUUAAUACCACAACACAUGCGUUUUUCAGGGAGGUUUCUUGCGUUUACAGGCUCCGACAUCAUACGAGUAGAGAGACCUCGGACAACACUUCAUCAGCUAGAGCCAUGCAUAACAGCUGAAUGAUACUCUUACGUUUUACAGGAAACCUGGAUAUAUCUGUCUUAUUAACAACACUGCGGCAACAGCAUUACCACGGACAGCAUGAAUUUGCAUCCGACUGAAGCCCACGGGUGAUCAUCGAUCCGCCCUAGUGCGCCCGGUCACGGAGGACGUCGAGCUCCACCUCGGUCGGGUCAGUUGCUUGGAUCUCGUAGUGGAACCCGUCGAGCUCCUGCUUGAUGCGGUUCUUGGAGGUGGAGUACAGCAUCUUGGCGCGGAUGCGGGAUGUGUCAGGGGACCUGGUGCAGCAAGUGCAUUAUAUUAGCUAUAAAUAAGGUGAAGUGAGAUCAAUGGACAGGGAAGAGAGGAUGCAUCGGCCAUCAGGCCAUCAGGCAUGUGCAGAAGGUGAACUUUUUUUUAUCUAUGUAUAAGAACACUGCUAUCAGACAAGUCAACUUUGAUCUUUCCAGAAUCACGAUAUAUGGGAGUAUAUUACACAUAUGUAAAGUUUGGUGAUGAAAUAAGUAAACAUGUGAGCUAUACAAAAAUGACAAAAUGGUGAUUUCCAAACAGUGAACAAUGCAUGCACUGUUCAUCUUUCCAGAAUCAUGAUUUUGUCUUUUUUGUGUAACUCACAUGGUUACUUAUUUCAGCAUCAAAAUUUGCACAUGUGUAAGACACAUCCAUAUAAAUGUGUUGAUUUAUUUUCAGAAUUCAAAAUAUAGGGCUCCGAUGCACCCGUCCUCCAAAGUGACUUUUUUCUAUCUGACAAGUCAACUUUCACAAUAAAGAACAACAAAUUGGCAAAGCAUAUUUCUGAAGACAUGUGGACAUACACUGUUGUUCUUUCUCUGACAGCUACAAGCAUAGGUACCAGGCACAAAUAAAAUAAGAAAAGGCUACCAUUGCUAUAGAUUCCUCUAGCAAUGUCCGUCAUGGUUAUAAAUAAGCUGAAGUGAAAUAAAGAGGAUAAAGGGAGUGCAUCGGCUAUAAAGCAGUGCAAAUAGGCAAAGCAUAUUCUGAAGACAAGUGGACAUGCAGUGUUAUCUUUUCUGGACAGCUACAAGCAUAGAUACAAAACAAGAAAAGGCUAUCAUGGCCAUAGAUUCCUCUAGCAAUACCCGUCCAGUUUCACGAUUCAAUACUUCAUAUAGAAAAAUAUUAAGAAACCCAAAAUAUAUCAGUUUCACGAUUCAAUACUUCAUAUAGAAAAAUAUUAAGAAACCCAAAAUAUAUCAAGUGUAAAUUCGUGAGAAGAACUUCAAUGACAAUUCAACAAGAUCUAGUUAGGGUCCAUUUUUCAAAAGAAGCUAUUUAAGACUAGCUAUGCAAACAUUAACAUAUGGAUACGUGACUAUGAAACUCACCAGGCAAUGAAGAAAAUCUUGCUUUUCUGCACAUUCUCCCCAGUAACAAAGUCAAAAUCAUAAAGGGCAUAUCUGCAGUCCUUUUCUGGGAGACAAGCCAGGAAAUCAUCAUAACUCUCAGUUGUAGCCCCUGUCUUCUCCACAACAACCUGUUUUUGCUUUUCUUCGAUUUUGAAGAUAACAUAGCGAAAUGCCUUCUUCAUCUGAAGCUCCAGGAAUGUCUCCCUGAUAUCAGGAGCAACUCCCAUGCCAGAGGAUGCAUUGGACUGCAAAAAGAACACACAUAAGAGAAUGAUGGAGACCAAAAAAUUGACAACAAGCCAAG
This 20097-nucleotide long non-coding RNA is filed under the name Triticum aestivum (bread wheat). Its description in RNAcentral is "long non-coding RNA (TAES_LNC007903)". The record is from RNAcentral. Lineage: Eukaryota; Viridiplantae; Streptophyta; Magnoliopsida; Poales; Poaceae.